RNAcentral lists this ribosomal RNA (537 nucleotides) under Arthrobacter sp. CMT504. RNAcentral describes it as "bacterial SSU rRNA". It matches the Rfam family "Bacterial small subunit ribosomal RNA", at positions 338 to 885 of the family's 1533-position model. Lineage: Bacteria; Bacillati; Actinomycetota; Actinomycetes; Micrococcales; Micrococcaceae. The record is from RNAcentral.
CCUACGGGAGGCAGCAGUGGGGAAUAUUGCACAAUGGGCGCAAGCCUGAUGCAGCGACGCCGCGUGAGGGAUGAAGGCCUUCGGGUUGUAAACCUCUUUCAGUAGGGAAGAAGCGAAAGUGACGGUACCUGCAGAAGAAGCGCCGGCUAACUACGUGCCAGCAGCCGCGGUAAUACGUAGGGCGCAAGCGUUAUCCGGAAUUAUUGGGCGUAAAGAGCUCGUAGGCGGUUUGUCGCGUCUGCCGUGAAAGUCCGGGGCUUAACCCCGGAUCUGCGGUGGGUACGGGCAGACUUGAGUGAUGUAGGGGAGACUGGAAUUCCUGGUGUAGCGGUGAAAUGCGCAGAUAUCAGGAGGAACACCGAUGGCGAAGGCAGGUCUCUGGGCAUUAACUGACGCUGAGGAGCGAAAGCAUGGGGAGCGAACAGGAUUAGAUACCCUGGUAGUCCAUGCCGUAAACGUUGGGCACUAGGUGUGGGGGACAUUCCACGUUUUCCGCGCCGUAGCUAACGCAUUAAGUGCCCCGCCUGGGGAGUACGG